GAAUCCCGUAUAUGGCACGGACUCCCGUUACUUCUGUGAUACACUCUCAACGAGUCGAGUUGUUUGGGAAUGCAGCUCCAAAUGGGUGGUAAAUGCCAUCUAAAGCUAAAUAUUGGCGAGAGACCGAUAGCGAACAAGUACCGUGAGGGAAAGAUGAAAAGCACUUUGGAAAGAGAGUGAAACAGUACGUGAAAUUGUUGAAAGGGAAACGCUUGAAGUCAGUCACGCCCUUUGGGAUUCAGCCUUGCUUCUGCUUGGUUUACUUCCCUUUGGGUGGGUCAACAUCAGUUUUGGUCGGAGGAGAAAGGCUUGGGGAAGGUAGCAACAUUCGUGUUGUGUUAUAGCCCCUCGUUGUAUACUUCGACUGGGACUGAGGACCGCAGCACGCCUCUGGCCGGGGUUCGCCCACGUACGUGCUUAGGAUGUUGGCAUAAUGGCUUUAAGCGACCCGUCUUGAAACACGGACCAAGGAGUCUAACAUGUGCGCGAGUGUUUGGGUGUUAAACUCGGACGCGAAAUGAAAGUGAAAAGUUGGGAACACUUAUGUGUGCACCAACGCCCGGAGCUGGCCUUCUGUGACGCAUCUGCGGUAGAGCGUAUAUGUUGGGACCCGAAAGAUGGUGAACUAUGCCUGAAUAGGGUGAAGCCAGAGGAAACUCUGGUGGAGGCUCGUAGCGAUUCUGACGUGCAAAUCGAUCGUCAAAUUUGGGUAUAGGGGCGAAAGACUAAUCGAACCAUCUAGUAGCUGGUUCCUGCC
Molecule: ribosomal RNA, 757 nt
Filed under: uncultured Sebacina
Lineage: Eukaryota; Fungi; Basidiomycota; Agaricomycetes; Sebacinales; Sebacinaceae
Description: partial 28S ribosomal RNA
Rfam family: Eukaryotic large subunit ribosomal RNA
Source: RNAcentral